Molecule: transfer RNA, 62 nt
Filed under: Halotydeus destructor
Lineage: Eukaryota; Metazoa; Arthropoda; Arachnida; Trombidiformes; Penthaleidae
Description: tRNA-Glu
Source: RNAcentral
AUUCUUAUAGUGUAAAAUAACACCCAAUAAUUUCAAAAUUGAAAUGCUAACAGCUAAGAAUU